RNAcentral lists this long non-coding RNA (679 nucleotides) under Cyanistes caeruleus (blue tit). RNAcentral's name for it is "lncRNA (ENSCCEG00000005249.1)". Lineage: Eukaryota; Metazoa; Chordata; Aves; Passeriformes; Paridae. The record is from RNAcentral.
CAGUGCUUGGCUUCUAGGACUUCACCCCAAAAUGAAGGGAUCCGGCUAAAAUUGCACAAGGCUUUUCAGAAGAGGUUGAGCAACCACAGCUGCCAAACAAUGACAUUAAGUCAGCUGGAAUUGCUGCUCAAGGAGAAAAGUAUGCUGACCAGGGUAAUAACAGAUACCACAUGCAGGGGUAGUAAUUAAUUUCAGAAUUUUCAAGGGUUUGGCAGUGAAGGAAAUGGCAUUAUACAGCCAAGGGACGUGAGGAAGUUCUUGUUCCCAUUUGGCAUUCCAAUCGCCCUGGAAGGAUUGAAGCAGCUUUGGGCAAGCUUAGGAAUCAGCAUUCAUGACAGCAAGCUCUCUUAUUUUGAUUUCCUGAGAGCAAUUGAGGAUGGCAGAGCAUCUGAAUACCAGCAGAAACAAAAGCAGGCUGCACCACCUGCAAGCUUUGCAGAGCUCAGCUUAGAACAAACCCUAAUAAAGAUAAAGGAAACAGUUACGUCAUCUUAGGAUUUGUUGUAUAAGGUAAGUUUCAUCUUAUUUAAUGUCUAUUUUUUUUCUGCCUGGCUGGGUACUAUGCCAAAGGCUUCAAAACUUUACUGCUAUUGGGUGCUACCAGCAACCUUGGCCUGUGUAGAAAUACCAUCUUCUGGCAACUGUAGGCUUCUUAAUUGAUUGUAUUCUGGAAAUUCCA